Molecule: ribosomal RNA, 460 nt
Filed under: uncultured bacterium
Lineage: Bacteria
Description: partial 16S ribosomal RNA
Rfam family: Bacterial small subunit ribosomal RNA
Source: RNAcentral
CCUACGGGAGGCAGCAGUGAGGAAUAUUGGUCAAUGGACGAGAGUCUGAACCAGCCAAGUAGCGUGAAGGAUGACUGCCCUAUGGGUUGUAAACUUCUUUUAUAUGGGAAUAAAACGUUCCACGUGUGGGAUUUUGUAUGUACCAUAUGAAUAAGGAUCGGCUAACUCCGUGCCAGCAGCCGCGGUAAUACGGAGGAUCCGAGCGUUAUCCGGAUUUAUUGGGUUUAAAGGGAGCGUAGGUGGAUUGUUAAGUCAGUUGUGAAAGUUUGCGGCUCAACCGUAAAAUUGCAGUUGAAACUGGCAGUCUUGAGUACAGUAGAGGUGGGCGGAAUUCGUGGUGUAGCGGUGAAAUGCUUAGAUAUCACGAAGAACCCCGAUUGCGAAGGCAGUUCACUGAACUGCAACUGACACUGAGGCUCGAAAGUGUGGGUAUCAAACAGGAUUAGAUACCCGAGUAGUC